UCCUUGAAGGGGUAAACCUAUUGUGAAGUAGGGACACAAAGCUAAGGGUCUGAGCAAAUCAGACUGCCUGGCUGCAAAA
RNAcentral lists this non-coding RNA (79 nucleotides) under Halanaerobium kushneri. RNAcentral describes it as "c-di-GMP sequence". It matches the Rfam family "c-di-GMP-I riboswitch aptamer". Rfam says of the family: GEMM was predicted in a large-scale screen for bacterial structured RNA regulatory elements. Genes associated with GEMM are involved in a diverse array of functions, including chemotaxis regulation, signal transduction, secretion and chitin. Lineage: Bacteria; Bacillati; Bacillota; Clostridia; Halanaerobiales; Halanaerobiaceae. The record is from RNAcentral.